GAUUGAACUAUAGAAGAGGUCCUCCGAGCGAUGGGCCUAGACACCGCCUUUUCUCCAGACGGAGAGGAGAAGCUCACAGAAACCUUGAGCCAAGCCGAACCAAAUCACACGGGUACAGGACAGAGCCAACAGAGAAAGGAAGAGGCCGCGGCGCAAGUCCAUCCUCGCCGGCGGAGGCAAGAUCAGAUCUGACCCAGAUCUGCUCUGAUAGACCGGUA
RNAcentral lists this long non-coding RNA (218 nucleotides) under Brassica napus (rape). RNAcentral describes it as "long non-coding RNA (BNAP_LNC015302)". Lineage: Eukaryota; Viridiplantae; Streptophyta; Magnoliopsida; Brassicales; Brassicaceae. The record is from RNAcentral.